Molecule: long non-coding RNA, 1026 nt
Organism: Solanum pennellii
Lineage: Eukaryota; Viridiplantae; Streptophyta; Magnoliopsida; Solanales; Solanaceae
Exons: 2
Source: RefSeq, a predicted model, not a curated record
AACGAUUAUAAAUAUAUAAACAUAGAUAAUCAGCAAGGAGACCGUUGUUUGUAUCCUGCUAGUUUCCACUAGGUUUGCUUGUUUAUUGGAAUUUUUCGAAGUAACUCUUGUGGUGGUGCAAUCAUUGCCGGAAUCUAGAGUCCCACACGCUACUCCAAAAGAGUCAUCCACGCUUGUUUUGUCCAAGUUCUCGGCAUCAUAAUUUUAGUCUCCUCUCAUCUCGACCCCCUUUUUAUUUUGGUUUAAAAAAUGUAAAGUCUUUAAAUAAUAGUUGUUGUAUUUGAGCUUAGGCUAGUAACUGUGAGCAGCAUGUCUCUUUUGAAAAUUUAGUUAUCUGGACAUUAAUGCUCCCUGGAUCAAAUAAUUUCUGUCUCCUUAGCCUUUCUACUCUUUCAUUGUUGUUUCAGUGAGAAUUUGAGCCUAUCAAUGGUAAGAUUGUAUCAACCUUCGUGACCUUGAGUAUUGUAUUAGGCUAUUGCUUGGAUUUGUUUCAUCUUAGUUUAUUGUUUAUUGGAGUUUAUUCAAGAUCAACUUUAUAUUAUUCAGAUUGUUUGUGUGAUUACUUUAUUACUUUCGUUACAAUUAGUGCUUAUACGUUUAUUUUUAUUUUUGAUGCAUGUGGAAAUAUGCCGAGUUCAUUAUGAACUCUUAUUUUCCAUUCGUCACAUUUUGAGAGAGCCACAAAGGUCCUAAAUAUUCUUUUCAUCGAGUCAAACCCACAAAAAUUGAAGCACAGGCUAAGAAGCUGAAGAUUUUGGGCCAUAAUGGCCCAAGUUUAUUUUCUGAAAUUUUGUAUUUUUGUAUUUUUGUAUUUUGGGUUCAACCCCCCUCGUAAUAUUUGUUUAUCCUCGUUUUAUUAGUUCUUAGGACAGGUUAAAAUGGGCCUAAGGCCAAAAGAAAGGAUAAUUAUUUUCAUGACUAAUUUAGGACAAGAAAAAUCAAAUGGGCCUAAGGCCCAAAGCAAAAUGGGUCCAAAUACCGGUUUAGACGGGCAGAAAUCAGAUUUGAACCCAACUCUCUCUCUCU